AACAUGAUAUAUUACUUUUCAAAGUCAAAUCAGAAAAAUGUACAUAUUCAGCUUCAUACAUUACACAAGUAAGUAUACUAUCCUGAAAUAAAAGAUUUAAUUUUAGUCCAAAUUUUCUUAAAAAAUCAUCAUCUUUUUAUACCUUUUAACAUGAUUUCAUAAGUGGCGCCAACCCUCGCAAAUAUGAAUUUUGCUUGAAAAGUAAAGAGUAUGCUAUAGAUAAACUAUUUCAGAAAAAAAUAUUUGUGUGCGAAGGGUGAUGGCACUAUUUGUUUGCCAAAAAAAUCAGCCGUUCACAUUUUCGUCUACAUUUAUGCCGUUAGAAAUACAUCACUCAAUACAAGUUGGUGUACUAUCUAUGGUGUACUAUCUGACUUAGGUAUAUUUCCCCUUUUUAUCAGUUUUGUGAACAAAACUUAUUAAAUUAUUCUUUUAAAAGUGAAAAUAUGCAAGAGGCCUAUUUAUUGUUAACA
RNAcentral lists this long non-coding RNA (473 nucleotides) under Mytilus galloprovincialis (Mediterranean mussel). The record is from RNAcentral. Lineage: Eukaryota; Metazoa; Mollusca; Bivalvia; Mytilida; Mytilidae.